Molecule: non-coding RNA, 28 nt
Filed under: Homo sapiens (human)
Lineage: Eukaryota; Metazoa; Chordata; Mammalia; Primates; Hominidae
Source: RNAcentral
UGGCCGACACCAUGACCAGCGUGGGGAC